This is a long non-coding RNA of Osmia lignaria (orchard mason bee), 12149 nucleotides long. RefSeq lists it as uncharacterized. The record is from RefSeq and is a predicted model, not a curated record. Lineage: Eukaryota; Metazoa; Arthropoda; Insecta; Hymenoptera; Megachilidae.
UUUUACCAUAUUGGUUAAUAUUAAUUAUUUUAUAAUAAAAUGAUUAAACUCAUUUAAAACAUAAAAUAUGUAAUUGUUUUGUCUGAUUAUAAUAAUUUGGGCACUCAAUCUCUAAUUACAUAAUAGAAAAAUAAUUAUUUUCUCACUAGUUAUAAUAUUUUUAUCAGAAAACAAAUGACUUAGACCACUGUCAAAAUAAACAUGAACAAAGUUUCAUUUAACCAACUUUCUUCAACAUUAAAAUCAUUUUCACAAAGGGUCAAGUGUUCAGUAAAGGGUUAAAUUUCUCUUCGGGAUAUUUUAAUUCUUUCUCCCAACAUCAUCCUCAUAUUGUUGUACUUAUAUCUUCUCAUCCUCGAUUUUUACGUUAUCAAUGUUAAAUCCGAAAAUACUCAAUACCUGAUUAGUUUAUUUCGUUUAUCGAGAGACGAACAGUGGCAGUGCGUAGGGGUCCUAUUUCCCUCCUUGAACGGUGUUUGUACGUGUCGCUGAAAAUAAAAAAAAUAAAAAUAAAAAUAAAAAUAAAAAAGUAGACGGCAAAUUGUUCGUAGAAAAGCCACGUUCCGUUCGACGAAUCGAGAGUACCAUUACGUGUAAUAAAAUAUUAUUUUUAUUCAUUUCCGCGGUAAUUUUUGACGUUCCAUUUACUGUUUCAUGUCUUUGAUCUUUCUCAACCCGUUCAAUUUUUUUUUUUUAUUUGGCACUUGUCUGUUUUUUUACUCAAAUCAGUAUUUUUUUUAAAUAUGAUAAGAAUGUCAAAAUAAUUUUUAUUGUCUCAGUUUCGUCUACCGGUACGUAGCCUAGUGCAAGCUAAGCACGAUAAAAUUUCACGCGCGAAACAGAAUUAAAGUGCCAGCAAGUUGACCUGUAAGAGAGAAAUAAUAAUAAUAAAUAAUAAUAAUCAGACGCUUUUGUAAUUGAAUAACAGGAAACUAAUGUAACGUGUAAUGUAUUGUAAUGUAACAUGAUAUUAUAACCCCACCUCUAAAAAAAAAAUAAUAAUAAUGAUAAUAAUAAUUAACCUACUCGUCUUUUUUGUAUGUGUAAGCAUAGCGCGUCGAGAAUCACGGCGAUGAUGUUUCUAGCAAUAGAAAGUAAUGGUACAAUGGAACAAGAUGGAUCUUUGAUCGGAGUUAAUUAGCACUUGAUUAGCAACAAGCAACGCUUCGAAGAGCAUUGCUCAUCCCGACCGAGUGUAACUCCCUUUUAACCCAUUUGCACCAGGUUUUCGGAAUUUUAAAGUGGUCAUCACUGCAAAAAUAUACAUGUUUUAACAAAAAUUCUCUCGUGUAUAAAAAUAUCAAUGAUUUUUAUAUGACAAUGAAAUAUUUACAAGUGGAAGACUUUUGAAUAUUGAAAAAAUAAUAUUUAACACAGCAAUAUAAAAUUCAGAAAAUGAAAAUGGAUGAAAAAUUAAUUUUCGUUAUUAAGGUGUAAAUGGGUUAAUUAACGAGGGACAUCACCUGAUUGACCCACACUGAUUUUAGUCCAAUUUUAAUACAACACAGUUUUUUUUAGAAAAAUAUUCAUUUUGAAGGGGUGAAAAUAGUUUUUGAAAUUAUUUCUAAUAUCUUGAAAACUUUACUCACUUAAUCAUUUCCAGAACUUUUUCAACCCCUUAACUGUUUUCACCCUUUCAACGUGGACAUCUUCCUUCCAGGAAAAAGCAAACGUAGAAUACACUUUUUAGUUUUACAUGAUAUUAAAAUUGCAGAAAAAAUCAUUGUUCAUCAAUCGAUUGUUGUCCUUCAUAAGUCAUCAGUCUGCUCGACGUCAAGUCUCUUAGCGUUUAGUUUUUUAUAUUACGAAACCAUUUCUCGACAAGUCAAUUUCGAGACGGCACGUGUCUAGUUACGUUUAGCGUUUUUUGCGAGGUAAUCCUUUUUAAACCACGUAUCGUAUUUUACACGAUACGCUGAAAUAAGCAGAAAAAGAACAAAAAAAAAAGUAGAAAUUUUCGAAUUUCCCAGUCGUUUGACGCGUGACUUGACUUCGAGCAUCAAAGCAAAACCAUCGCUCCCUCCUCCUUUGUUUUUUACUUUUUCACUAUCGACGAACGAGAACGGCAAAAAAAAUGAAUAAAUAAAUAAAAAGAAAAAAUGAAACGCAAUAGAUAAAUUCGACUACCCUAUAGAUAGUAUACAUAAUGAAUAAUAAAAUGAAAAAAAAAAAAGAACGGUAAAGUAUACAUAUUAUAUGUGUAUAUUACAAAUACAUAUUUAUAUAAUAUAUACACUUUACCAUAUAUAUAUUAUAUAUAUAUAUAUAUAUAUAUAUAUAAAUGGAAAAUGAUGUGUAUUGUAAGAUAUUUAAUACCGACUUGUCUUUAGGCACACCACGAUGAUCGAUCGCAAUGAAACGAUGAUAAUAAUUAUUACGAUGAUUGUUGUAUAACGAACGACGACGACGAUGGAUGAUGAUAAUGUUAUUCUACAUUGUAAUUUGCGUUGUAACAUAGAGGCCCAACCGUUACCCACUAAAAAAUCGAUGUGUCGAUGUAUAAAUCCCGGACGUGCCUCGCUCGUGCACGAAAAUGAAAAAUGAAAAAUUGAAAAUUUGUAUUUGAAGCGAAUGUUGAACGUCGACAAAAUUUUAAUUACAAUAGAAAUCAAUUGUUCUUUUUUUUUUUUUCUAUGGGAGUGUAACUGAGAAUUGUAAUAUCCAACUACCACCGUGAUUUAAAUUAAAUGGGACUUUUUAUUUCAAUGUUGUUUUUGUGUUGUAGAAAUGAACAACGAGUGCAGUACGUCCGGCAGCAACUAGCAAUAAUAUAACAUUCCAACUUAAAUCGUGUACGUACUGCGAAUUCUAAUAAUGUGUGCCGCCGUACGAGAGAGAAAAACACUGUCAAAUACACGCUCAUACACUGCUACAUCUGUGUGGUAUUUAUUUUAAUUGUUUCUUAUCCUAGACUAAAAAGUUGAAAAUGGUACUCUUUUAAUCCUUUCGAACCGAGUAUGUUUCAUUUCGAUUUUAUUCUUUCUUUUUUCAGUGCUUCCCAAUGUGGGCGAUACCAUCCCCUUGUAGGUGCUAGAACGAUUCAUGGGGGAUGGAAGUAGGCUCAGAUGAAAUUGGAGAGUGUAAAUUGGUCACUGCAUCUUUCUGUUUGUUCAGUUAAAAAAAUUAUAUUUUCCACAAUGCAGAGUGAGUAACUUCACCCCUUUAAAUUAAUUUAUUCGAAGAAUAAUCAUCCUUUGCAUAACUCAAUGUCUUUCAAAUCUUUUUGAAGUUACAUUAUAAUUUUUAUUUUUAUUGUGAAAAUUUUCUGGUUAAUUUGAUUUAUUUUUUUAAUUAUAUAUUGCACAUAUUUAAAAUAAUAUUAAGUAUACGUUUAAAAUUGAGUAAAACGUAAAUAUAAAAUGGACAGCUGUUAAACCAGUUCAUAGUGAUAAAGUCGUUAUCGUCUGAUUUAUUUCAACGAGUUAUGCAAAGUGAACAAAUUUAUUACACAAUAAUAUCGGCGGGAGAUUUACCUCUCAGGUAAUUUAAUACUGGUAAUUAAGCAACCCUUCGAUCUUAAGCGUUUCUUUUAUAGAAAGCAGUAUAAAUGAUUUAUAAGCCAUUCUAAAAUAAGAACGUCCGAAAUAAAAACUAGACUACGGGGUUGAUUCUACUAAAUUAAUGAAUUGACGAAUAACGAAAGCAGCCAAGAAAAUGGCAUUAUAUCAAUUCUCCAAACUUAAUCUCUCUAAGGUACCAGCAACCAUUUUAGUCUUCUCGAGAAUGGAUUUUAGAAGCACUCGUGUGCUCAUCGAUGCGCAAAUCCGCUCAAAUCACUCGAAGGCCGAAAGCGAAAAUCAAACAAGUCGUGGCGAUCGGAUCGGACGGGAAAGCGGUGCCAACCUGAAAGGAUUGGACGAAACUAUGUACAUCUACCUUUAAGGGUGGCACGUGGAUAAGCACUGUGGAACUGCAACACCAUCAAUCUUCCUCAGGGUGGAUGUAUAUUUCGAAAGUUGCAGCCAAAGCGAGCAGCCACUGGCUAAUUUACGAAGGUACCGAACUAAUUUACACACCUAAUAAAUACCCUGUUACAUAGGAAACAGUUGCUCUUUUCACGUGAUACGUAGGUAGUACGUCGAAAGCGUAUCAGCGAGUACCGAGAAUUCAAUUACCGUUCCGAAGCUCGACGCUGGAGAAUUCGCGAUAACGUGAAGGAUACAAAAAGAGCAUUCUCUCUGCCUAAACCAGAGAUAGGUGCAAGCAUAGGUAGAUGUAUACCUGUAUUCACCUGCGUAGGGAGUCUGCCAGACUGGCGCUUGAUAAGCGGUUGUCGGGCGAUAAGAGAGAACGAUACACGAGGGUAACGCACUUAGUUCGCGUACGUUCGCUAUAGGAUGUUUCAUGCUGGAAAUGUUUGAACGAAUAUCAUGUGCAAUAAUGUCGCGUACACCGGAUGUACGAUAUGUAAGUAGAAAGUGAAUUUCCAUGAUACGCAUCAUAUCUUUGAUAGGUGCGGAUCGUCAUCGUAUCUGAUUUUUUCAGUUCUUCCCCAAACAUAUCUUAUGAAUCUCCGAUAAAAUUUGAUUAUUUUUUAUUUAAUAUGUAACACGUGUAGAAGAAACUAAAAACAGGGUGAUUUUAUUUUCGUUUUAUCAGAAGGAAAUUUGUACUGUAUAUUUGAAAGUCUCUUUUGAAAUAUUUCCAAUUUUUAUUGAAACCCAAAUUUUGAUUAUUUUAAUUAAUUUUUUAUUACAAAUAAUCAGCUAUUUUAUUCAAACUUUAAUUUUCAAAUUAAUAUUCCAAUUUUGCAUUGCUCGUAUGCCAUCAAAAAAUGCUAGACUUUCCAUAUUUCGAAAUCGGCUAUCGGAUAUGAUACAACCAUUACAGAUACCGAUCAACCUUUGCAGUAGUCUAUCAUUCUCUAAAACUCUUAUGAAAGUAUUUCUCUUAGCAUCGAGCGGUCAAUAAUUUUCGUGUACCGAGGGAAAAUAAGAGAAAGCAAGAAACGGACAAUCAAAAAGACGAGGAAUGAGGCCGAAGAAAGGAUGGUACCUAAAGUGGUCACGGCGAAAUACUGUUAUGGAGCCGAGCGGUAUAGUGGUCGGUUAGUAAGCGUGGGUGUAGAUGUAAAAAGAUUACGCCUUGACUCGGAGUCGCGUGGCCUUCUCCCUUCUCCUCCCUUUUUUAAUCUGACAACUAUCCGUUUCCUUUUCUCUCGUAACCCUUUUCAUUUCUUGGUACGCACACUCGGUCUCCCUCAAUUUCUUCCCUCCCUCCCCAUCUUGGUCCCUUAUUCUGUCCCCCUUCCUUUCUUUAUUUAUUUUCUUUUUUUUCUUACUUUCGUUCUUACAGUUUCUCCGGUCCUAUCUUCCCUUCCCUCCACUCUUCUUUUCUUUCUCAUGCGCCGUGUUUCAGUCCUACUACCGGUCUGUGUUUCGUACCUUCUCGCGACGUUGCCCACCAUCUCGCGCGCAUAAAAUACAGUCAGGAAUUUUAAUAAGCCCGCCAUUGUGCCGCGCGGUCCCGGUUCCCACAGAUUAUUUCGACCCGGCUUAAGACCACUCGUGUUUCGGGUGUAAACGGAACUUUACGGUGCAACGAAACCACCCGCGGUUUUACGCGCUCGCUCGAGUUAGUUAAAUUGUCGCGGAAUUUUACGACGAGUCAAAUAUUUCCGCUCGACGGUUUUUCCGGCAAUUAGAGACGUCGUUUAAUUACGGAUUUUUCAUCUUUUUUCAUUUUACUUUUAUUCAAAUUUCAGUGACUCAGUCAUCGUUUGAUCGUUUAAAGGUACAAGGAAAAAGUCUGGCAAAAUCAAUUCUCCCCUCUCGUUAACAGUCCCACGUUAAUGUCAAGCUGGAUAGGAAGGAGAAGACAGUUAUGCCAUUCCGGAAAUGCUGGUAUGUCGUCGUGGCGCCAGAACCGUAUAUCGGCACACGACGAACCGCAAAUCAAUUUACACGUCCCUUUCAACCACAGCAUGCCUCGUCACGUCGUUUCCUCGCAAGAUUGAAAUCGACGAGUACGAGAGACGGUAUCGUAUCUGAAUACUGUCAUCGCGAUUGCAGUUGCAGAAUGAGUAAAGCGAUAUCAAAAGACAAAUGUGGGGCAAAUCUCGUCUGCUGGAAUCGUAAUAGGUGAAUCAGGGAAAAAUUUCAAGACUCAUCGAAGAGUAAAUUUUGUAAUAAUAAAUCUUUAUUAUCCCUUUAGGAAAGGUUUUUAUUUUACACAGGUACGAUAGCCACAUUGUUGCUCUGCAUUCGGUAUAAAUUUUAGACGAAAGAGUCAUCCGUCGAGGACGAGUGAUAAUCACCUUUUUUUUCCAUUGGAUGUGAUUUAAGAAAACGACGUUGAAGACCAUGGGUGGUGGUGAUUCAGAGGGAUGCAGCUGGUCCUGGGGCUCCUGGAAUUUCGGACGGAGGUUGUUCGCGUUCAUCGAUCUCGCCGUUUCAGCUCUUGAAUCAUCAGAGACAGUAGCUAUCGGCAGAAGAGAACAGAAGCAGCAGUCUUUCUCCGAAUGGAACCGUAACGAAUAACGUACCAGGAAUGAGAACCGCUGUAGUCAACUGUAUCAUAUUAGUGGCAGUAAUUACAAAUCAUUGGAGAAACUGGAACUGGCCAUUCAACCUUUUCAGUCUGUCGGCUUGGAAAAUACAUAUUUCAACACGAUCACACGUGUUCGAGUAUGUAUCAGGAUCCAGCUUCCUCGAUAAAAAAAAUUCCAUUAAUUGAAAACCGUGACAUUGCGGGAAGCGAAGGCUUUUAUUGUCCCCCAAUAAUUCGUGGCAUUUGUUUCGCUAAGAAGAUCCGGCGGAAAAUUGAUUCAACGAGAGUCCAGAACUACGGCAAGCGGCUUUUCCGGCGUUGACACGAAAAAUGGAAGGCUCCAUUCUCCGGCGAAGCCUGACAAAUGCGGUCUAUUUGUAGCAGGCUGGGUUAAAAGGGGAUUGAUUUAUCGGUUCGCAUCUUCUCGUUGGUGAUUUUUCGUAUCGGCCACCGUAUUUAUGAGACGAUACCGCAUCGUAUUAAUGGGUCCUUCUGUACGGUACCAGCCGGUCGUAUCGAUACCACGAUCUUGUCUCGAAUCUCGGCCUAUCGAUACGUUCCAAUCUGAUCGGCCUACCUGCGAUGGCCACCUUCCCACGCGACAUCUCUGUAUCUUCAACUUGUACAGUACAUACAGUACGUCUCACAAGAAUGUAUCCAUAAUUAUAAUGAAUUAAUUAAGAAUUACAGGUGUUUCAAUAUACUGCUAAUUGGUAAUGACAAUAGCACAGCUACGUGACCUAUGGUAUAUUUAUAACUCCAUCAGUUAUUUCUAUAAUAAUAAUAACAAUCGAUAAUAUUAUAAUGAUUAAAUAAUUGUACUCUACAUUUUAUUUGUAAGCAGCGUAGAAAAAUUAUUAAAAAAUAUUCUAAAAUAUUGCCAUAACAGUGGAAAUUAGACUAAUUAUGAAAGGAUUAAUUGAGGUACCACAUACUAAAAUAAAAUUGCAUGCCAUUUGCAAUAAUGUGAUAAUAUACCAGUGGUAUAAACCUAAUUGACCGAUAGGGGAAAUUAACAAAUACUUUUCAUACGAUACAUAUUUCAAUCCAUGCGCAACAUUUUACACGGUAGAUAAAUUUUCACCAAGAUAUCGUGGCCACGCUCUUGUGAGACAGACUGUAAGUACACUCAGGGACCUCCUGGUAGCAUGUUUUAUCGUAUUGCGUUAUUUCACGGCGAAUGACACCAGGGUAUAUCGUCCCCGCAUUAAUGACGUUCUUACCGAUUGUGAGAUACGUCUUGUUUUCCCCGUUGGAGAUCCGAGGAGAGACUCGAUAACGGGUUGGUCGUCUCCUCCACGAGGUGGUCAUCCCGUCCUUACCAAUUUCGGUACAACUCUCAAUCACGAGGUUACAUUGGUCGUGCAAAGGGAAAGGCCAUAAAUUUUCUCGGCUUUUUGGAAUCCGAUAAUGUUCAUUUCAGUUGAGAUCGUGAUUAGAAAGGGUUGUACAGUAAUUUUUAUCAAAUUUUCAAUUACCAGUCUUGUUUUGCAGCACUUUUAUGUCCUGUGUUUCGAAUUCCUGUGUUUCGAAAUCGGUCAUUUGAUAUGAUACGACCGGACAUAACUGCGGUCCAUGCACACCGUUCGUAAGUUAUAUUAUUUUGUAAGUUAUGCGAUAGUUUAAAACGAUUCCUAUCUGCGUUAAGAGCAAAUAAAAUGAAACUCGUGUGAGUAAUCGUAACAUCAGCGUAUACAUGCGAUGUUCGUAUUGAACGCAUUAAAGUAUAAACGAGGUAGUAUUGUCAGUUUUGUACUGAAAUCGGUUUAUAUCUUUAUAAUGCAUCUGUUUACAACCGCAGUUGUUUUACAAAUUCGAAUAGAGUAAUGUUCCAUGUUCCAGGGUUUUAGGUUUAUAUCAAAUAAAUUAGGCAUUCUUUUUCUAUGCGAAAAAUAUUGAAAAUAUCAAAAGGAGAUUAUUUUAUAUCUAUUUUUAAUAGAAAUUAAAUUUGGAGAUGAAAUUUUAAUUACAACAAUUAACACCUAGUAAAAUUUUUAUCAUUCGAAGCUCACCUGUAUUCAAAAAUAUGUAUUUAUUUUAGAAAACACCAAUUUCUUACCUUGACCAAUGUAAUUCGUUAAUUGUUACAUGGAAUUUUCAAUUCCAAGACAUGUCACGUUUAACAAAACUAAAAUUUUAGCACCAGGAUACGUUUGUAUACGAAGGUAAACGUUGGGUGACGCUUUGCAGUGCUAUUUUUUAUCCUUUUUAUCGAGAUGAAGCAAUCCGGAGUACAAUACAUUGUUAGCGUUACUAAUUACAACGAGAAGCUGCGUUUCAAGUCGAAGCUAAUUUAAGGCGGCGCUAAUUUACCGUUGUAUUUGAACGUACUAUUAGACACGCACGUGCUGCGUGUAAUACUCACGAGUGGAUCCACCGACUCGAUGACACGCGUAAAACAUUCCUCGACCACUUGAACUUAGAACUCGAAAUUUUACUGGCAAUAUGUACGUACACGUAUACGUACACCUGGGACAAGUGUAUGUACGCCAUAUUCGUUCAGCUUGUAAUUACGAUUUGUUUCUACAAUAGCUAGUUUCCUAUAGUGGGCUGUUUACCAAACGUUUACGAUCUACCUUCAUAGAAAUUCAAAGAAGAUCAUUAUCUUUUCAGAUAAACACAAUAUACGAGCUUACUGGCAUUCUACCAAGAACUAUUAACAAUUAUGGUUUAUUCACUACCUGUAAACAAAUUGACAUUCUUACGAAGUAUCUUUAAUUUUCUUUUACUGUAAUACGUAAGGAUUGGUCAGUUUGAUUACAGAAUCGAAAAUAUCGUACAAGAUAAGAAUUAAAGUUAGAUCUAUACAACGAGUUUUAUCAUUAAGGAAUUUAAUCGCGUGAAAUAAAACACGUAUAAUUUGAACCCCUCUUUUAAUUCUUUUCGAGGCGUAGCGAUUCAGUUAUCAGCGAUUUAAUUAUCACCAAAAUUCUGUGUUUUUCGAGUGCCAUGCUUUUGAAAGUUCAAGACUGAGAUAGACUUUGUUCUAGCAUUUGUAUGAAUUCUUUAGUUUAUUUUUAAAUAUUUUUAAUGUAUUAUUAAUCAAGAAAAUUUUAUUUUGGCUGUAAAAUGUACCGAAGUAAAAUUGACAAAUGGAGUAUUUUUAUUGUAAAAUGUACGUCGUCAAGUCAAACAUUUAAUUGUACAUUAACGCUAAUAAUGCAGCUUUUUAGCUGCUCAUGUAAGCCACGUGCCAAAACCCAUCGCAAACAAACGAAAGAACGAAGAAGACGAGCACAAGUAUCGGAAUACAUUACUUUUCAAAAUGUCAGAUGAUGAGAGAUAAAGUACAGAAAAUGCUGUCAAAGGUUUAAAACAAUUGUUACAUUAAAAUUUAAAAAAGAAAAAAAUUGCUCCUCAAAAUAUUAACUUGUAAGAUAUUAAAUGGACUAUUUUGAAACAUAGAAAAUUUGAAUAUGAAUUGGGUAAUGCAAAAUAUCACAUAUGAAGCAAUUUAGUAAUAAAUGAUGGGAAAGAAUUCUGGUAAGUUAGAAAGAAGACAAAAUAAAAUGAAAUGUGUUACAAUACGGUGAGUUCCUCGUAGGCUAGAUGAUUCAGAGAAAAACCCGAACCCGAAGAGUAAUCGAUUUCUGAUUCAAGGUGGAAAGCAAGAGGCUAGCCAUAAGAGGCUGUACGUAAUUAUACCGUAGAGUCCAGUUUCUCGAAAGAGGCCUCCGUUUAGGAGGUUCCGUUUCGCGCUCCCGACGAAAGGAAAGGAGUGAAACUCCUGAUGGAACGAUGUGGGAGGUCUCUCCCACACCCACGUGUGACCACCGAAACCGGCGCUUUGUUUCGGAUUAAAAGAAUCGCCCAAAUCCAUAUUGCGUUACGUCCUGAAGGCAGGUAUAAUCACUGUGUAACGUAAAACCAAAUUAGCGCAGAUUCUGAUCCAUUUACAAGCCAUAAUAUGACACUUUAAAUUAAAAAUUGAAAAUAAUGUUUAGGGUACUGAAAUAAUGCGUACAUCUUAAUGUUUAUAAAAUUAUUAUUCCGUUUAUUAGGUCAGAUUCUUUCUAUAUAUCAUUUUUCUAACUAUGAUGAAAAGCAGAGAUGACUAAUGGUAAAAAUAACAUUUUCAAGGGAAAAUAGUAGUCGAUAUUGCACGAAACUUGCUGAAUAUACAACUCCAUACGAGAUAAUUUAGAAGAGUGUACAAUGAAAACAAGCAUAAAAUCGAAACUUUGCAACAGUAUUGAUACCAAUACUGUCGAUAUGGGAUGGGCGAAUAUACGGAAUGAUUUUAAAAUUGGGACAAGCUAUAACUUCUUCUCGAGUAAACAUCGUAUGUACGUACCUGUAAAAUCUAUCAUAUCUGAAAAUUGACUAGACGGUGUAUCAGUUGUUUUUCUUAAAAGUAGGACAAAUUUACUUUCUCUUGUUUCGUGAUAUUAAUCCUUUUGUGGCUACCGCAUGUAUAAGUUCUUUUAUACACCUGGAUGGAGCUACAUUGAAAAUUAUUAAAUGUAGAAAAACUAAUUAAUGAAGGUAAUCGAACAAUUUACAUAAUUAAAUUUUGGUGUUUAUUUCACAUCAACAAUUGAAGGAAAAACACUUAAAGAAUUCUGAUUAGGUGAUAAUGACCAUUGAGAACACAAGAAGUUAAUUCGUUAAUUGAGAUAGAUAAUUUUAAGAAUGGCUGAUGCCAGUAGUACUACGUGUCAAUUUCGAUACAAUAAAAUACAAGUGUAUGUACAAUAAUACUUAAUUUAUCGAAACAUUUUUAACUUUCUCUCUACAUAGAAGGGUGCAAACAUCCCAACGAUAAUGACGAUUCUUUAAUUUCUAAUUUUUCACACCUUUCUUCUUGAAAAUCAACAAAAUUUCACAAAUACACAGUCAGUUUCUCUUUACAUUUGCCACUGAAAAUGCAUGGGGUGCAACUGCACUUAUGUGCAUACAUAAUAUCUUAGAAGAGAAUACUUAAAAUCUUCUUCUCUUUCUAUCCUUUCUUUAUUAACUCCACCUUUUUGUUUACAAUCUAUUUGAGAUAAGCAAAGAGUAAAUAUAUGUGGAAUUAUUUUAUGCUUUUUAUUUUUAAUGUUAUUUAUAUACCUAGUCGUUUCUGUAUAGUCAUUUAUUUUGCAAAAUGCAAUUAGUUUAAGGCAAAGCGAAUAAUAUUAAGCUACCCUUAUCGAUUCAAACGAACGACAUUUUGUAUCGGAAGAUCUUAGAUCGCAAUUUGUCAAAUCGAUUGCAAUGCAAAGAUCUUGCCAACCAGUUUCUUGUACAAUGUUUCGAGAGAAUAAUGUUCUUAUUAACGAGUCUAUUUCACGGUUAAUUUGUCGUAAUUGCCAAGGAAGCGGAUUGCGUUCGUUGCGCGAACAGCGGCCCGAUUUGACGUCUCGGUAUGAUUUACACACCGGAGAUAAAGAGUCUUCGAUUAAAGCGCGCUUCUCAUCCCGAGGGCGUAUUCAAGCGUUUAUAAUGUAAUUACGUUUCGUUUCUGUCCUGACCUUUCCCCCGCGGCCUUCUGUGACCAACAUUUCCUCCUACUGUGUCAUUCCAAAUGGGCAACUUUAUUGCUUUAUUGUGAUUCGUUGCAAACAACUGUUUCUUACUCGUGCUGCAAACGAUCAGCUGAAAUGUUAUUUUAUCAACGAAUAAAAAAUUAUGUUAUCAUUUACUUUGUAAUAUUUCUGUAAUAUUUUUUAAUUGGCUUA